GAUGAACGCUGGCGGCGUGCCUAAUACAUGCAAGUCGAGCGAACAGACGAGGAGCUUGCUCCUCUGACGUUAGCGGCGGACGGGUGAGUAACACGUGGAUAACCUACCUAUAAGACUGGGAUAACUUCGGGAAACCGGAUCUAAUACCGGAUAAUAUAUUGAACCUCAUGGUUCAAUAGUGAAAGACGGUUUUGCUGUCACUUAUAGAUUGAUCCGCGCCGCAUUAGCUAGUUGGUAAGGUAACGGCUUACCAAGGCAACGAUGCGUAGCCGACCUGAGAGGGUGAUCGGCCACACUGGAACUGAGACACGGUCCAGACUCCUACGGGAGGCAGCAGUAGGGAAUCUUCCGCAAUGGGCGAAAGCCUGACGGAGCAACGCCGCGUGAGUGAUGAAGGUCUUCGGAUCGUAAAACUCUGUUAUUAGGGAAGAACAAAUGUGUAAGUAACUAUGCACGUCUUGACGGUACCUAAUCAGAAAGCCACGGCUAACUACGUG
This 497-nucleotide ribosomal RNA is filed under the name uncultured bacterium. Its description in RNAcentral is "partial 16S ribosomal RNA". It matches the Rfam family "Bacterial small subunit ribosomal RNA", at positions 28 to 507 of the family's 1533-position model. The record is from RNAcentral.